GGAAAGAGAGAAACAGCUUUGCAACAUCACCGAGGAGGGCAGAUUUCCACAGCAACAACUUUCUCCCCCCCGCCCCCAACCCCAUCCAAGUAAUCAUAAACAAGCAGGAAAUACUGGGUAGCUGGAGAAAGAAAGUCUGAUGCAGCCCAACAGAAAUCUUAUGAUGGGACUGUCCUUAACAGUGAAUAAAGUGUUGAAAGUGAAGCAUUGUCAGAAAUAGGAAUAUCAAAAAGGUGAUGGAACAACUCGAGAAAUUAAAUUGCAAUCAAUCAGGAGGACCAGAUGGUAUUCAUCCGAGAGUUCUAAAGAAACUGAAGACCAUUGUAACUAAGCUGCUAACAAAAAUAUGUAAUUUAUCAUUAAAAACAGCUACUGUACCAGAGGACUGGAGAGUGGCCAAGGUUGUACCCAUCUCUUAAAAAGGUGCUAAUGAUGAUCUUGGGAAUUACAGACUAGUAAAUCUUAUUUUAGUACUGAGAAAAUAUUGAGAGGAUCACUAAAAAUAGAAUUAUAAACUACACAGAAAACAGGGAAAUCCUGCAAAGUUCCUGUUAAAAUGAAUAAUUCUUCUCUGUUAGAAUUAUUUGAAAGAAUUAAUGAAAUCAUGGAUAAAGAAGAAUUGGAGGAUAUGAUUGAUUUAGUCUUUCCAGAACCUGUGAUUAAGUCCCUCAUAGGAGGCCACUGGGGAAAAAAAUACGGUAACUUCAGAAUGACAGUUAGAGUCCUGUUAUGAAAUAAAAAUUGGGUAAAAUACAGGAAAUAAAAAUUAAAUAGUAACAAUACUUAGAACUUUUCAUUUUUAAAGCUAUGUAAAUAUUAACCAAUUUCCAUAACUUCCUUAGAAGGUAGGAAAGUCUUAGAAGUUCAGUAACUAACUGAAAAGGAGCUGCCAAAGAGUCCAUGUCAGGACCAGAGUUUGAUUUGAUCAUUUUAUGGGUUCCAGUGCCAGACUCAGACCGUAGAUGACAUCCUGUCUAGCUGUAAUUCAUUGGAAUAAAUGGCCAAUUCAUAACAGAAAAAGUGGUUAACUACAAAGUACCCCAGUGAUCAAAAUCAGCAUUAAAAAUAACUUUAUCCAACAAAAUGAAUUUGUUAUUUAUAACAACCUUGAAAAGUUUUUAAAGGAAGGUGGCAAAGUUUGUUCCCAACACAAUGGUCCAAGUCUGUUCUUUCAUACAGGCACAAUAAUUUUAUUGUUUUAUAUGGGAAAAGUUCAUGGGAAUAUUUGGCCUUUGGUUAUAUUAAGAUUAGGCAAAAUUGUGAGAGACUCCAGAACAACCAAUGGCAGAUGAAAGCAGACAAGCACCAAAGUAGCACAUACUGCACAUGUUUUGUAGAAACUUUGCAAACUGGUAUAUUACUAAAUAACUCAAGGGACAGAUAGGCAUCAUUUUGGACAACUCACUGAAAAAUUAUUUUCAACAUGCUGUAGAGGUUUAAUUUUUUUUAAAGCAAAUGAAAUGUUAGGAUACAUUGGAUACAUGGCAUAAGAAAAGAAAAUACUAU
Molecule: long non-coding RNA, 1506 nt
Organism: Alligator sinensis (Chinese alligator)
Lineage: Eukaryota; Metazoa; Chordata; Crocodylia; Alligatoridae
Exons: 3
Source: RefSeq, a predicted model, not a curated record